CCUACGGGAAGCUGCAGUGGGGAAUAUUGGACAAUGGGGGCAACCCUGAUCCAGCCAUGCCGCGUGUGUGAAGAAGGCCCUCGGGUUGUAAAGCACUUUCAGUGAGGAAGAACGCCUGGUGGUUAAUACCCAUCAGGAAAGACAUCACUCACAGAAGAAGCACCGGCUAACUCCGUGCCAGCAGCCGCGGUAAUACGGAGGGUGCGAGCGUUAAUCGGAAUUACUGGGCGUAAAGCGCGCGUAGGUGGCUUGAUAAGCCGGUUGUGAAAGCCCCGGGCUCAACCUGGGAACGGCAUCCGGAACUGUCAAGCUAGAGUGCAGGAGAGGAAGGUAGAAUUCCCGGUGUAGCGGUGAAAUGCGUAGAGAUCGGGAGGAAUACCAGUGGCGAAGGCGGCCUUCUGGACUGACACUGACACUGAGGUGCGAAAGCGUGGGUAGCAAACAGGAUUAAUACCCCAGUAGUC
Molecule: ribosomal RNA, 464 nt
Filed under: Vreelandella stevensii
Lineage: Bacteria; Pseudomonadati; Pseudomonadota; Gammaproteobacteria; Oceanospirillales; Halomonadaceae
Description: partial 16S ribosomal RNA
Rfam family: Bacterial small subunit ribosomal RNA
Source: RNAcentral